This 363-nucleotide transfer-messenger RNA is filed under the name uncultured Dysosmobacter sp. It matches the Rfam family "transfer-messenger RNA". From Rfam's summary of the family: Bacterial tmRNA, also known as 10Sa RNA or SsrA, is named for its dual tRNA and mRNA-like properties. Its role is to liberate the mRNA from a stalled ribosome. The record is from RNAcentral. Lineage: Bacteria; Bacillati; Bacillota; Clostridia; Eubacteriales; Oscillospiraceae.
GGGGGUGUACCGGUUUCGACGGGGGUAUGGAGGCGGGAUCAGCGGGCGGCGGCGCCUGACCGCCAUAAAACGGGCAAUUUAUAAAUUAAAUAACAACAACACUGUUGCUGUUGCUGCCUAAUUAAAGGCAGCCGUCCGACCCGGAAGGACCGCGAGCCGGGGAGGGCGUCGUUUAGCGGUAAAUGUGCGUGCAGUAAGCUUUGCCUGCGCCACACAUCAUGAAGCUCACCUGACCUGAUGGCGUGACGGUUUGCCAUCUGGAAGGGGAACAGGGAGGAAGACUCCCACAAUAAUCGUCUGCGCCCGGAGAAAAUCCCGUUAAAGUGCUUUCGGACGGGGGUUCAACUCCCCCCACCUCCACCA